CCUACGGGAGGCAGCAGUGAGGAAUAUUGGUCAAUGGGCGUAAGCCUGAACCAGCCAAGUCGCGUGAGGGAUGAAGGUUCUAUGGAUCGUAAACAUCUUUUAUAAGGGAAGAAAGUGUGGGACGUGUCCUAUUUUGUAUGUACCUUAUGAAUAAGGAUCGGCUAACUCCGUGCCAGCAGCCGCGGUAAUAAGGAGGAUGCGGGCGUUAUCCGGAUUUAGUGGGUUUAAAGGGUGCGUAGGCGGCCUUUUAAGUCAGCGGUGAAAGUCUGUGGCUCAACCAUCGAAUUGCCGUUGAAACUGGGGGGCUUGAGUAUGUUUGAGGCAGGUGGAAUGCGUGGUGUAGCGUUGAAAUGCUUAGAUAUCACGCAGAACCCCGAUUGCGAAGGCAGCCUGCCAAGCCAUGACUGACGCUGAUGCACGAAAGCGUGGGGAUCAAACAGGAUUAGAUACCCCUGUAGUC
RNAcentral lists this ribosomal RNA (460 nucleotides) under uncultured bacterium. RNAcentral's name for it is "partial 16S ribosomal RNA". It matches the Rfam family "Bacterial small subunit ribosomal RNA", at positions 338 to 795 of the family's 1533-position model. The record is from RNAcentral.